ACGCUCGACACCUACGGGAGCAGCAGUGAGGAAUAUUGGUCAAUGGACGCAAGUCUGAACCAGCCAUGCCGCGUGCAGGAUGACGGCUCUAUGAGUUGUAAACUGCUUUUGUACGAGGGUAAACGCAGAUACGUGUAUCUGUCUGAAAGUAUCGUACGAAUAAGGAUCGGCUAACUCCGUGCAGCAGCCGCGUAUAUCGNGNGGCGNGNGAGAG
This 214-nucleotide ribosomal RNA is filed under the name uncultured bacterium. Its description in RNAcentral is "partial 16S ribosomal RNA". It matches the Rfam family "Bacterial small subunit ribosomal RNA", at positions 328 to 540 of the family's 1533-position model. The record is from RNAcentral.